This 404-nucleotide ribosomal RNA is filed under the name uncultured bacterium. RNAcentral's name for it is "bacterial SSU rRNA". It matches the Rfam family "Bacterial small subunit ribosomal RNA", at positions 28 to 416 of the family's 1533-position model. The record is from RNAcentral.
GACGAACGCUGGCGGCGUGCCUAACACAUGCAAGUCGUGCGAGAAAGUUCCUUCGGGAGCGAGUAAAGCGGCGCACGGGUGAGUAACACGUAGGUAACCUGCCCCCCCAGUCUGGAACAACUAGAGGAAACUCUAGCUAAUGCCGGAUGAGACCACGAUCCCUUCGGGGGUUGCGGCCAAAGAUGGCCUCUACUUGUAAGCUAUCGCUGAGGGAUGGGCCUGCGGGCCAUUAGCUUUGUUGGUGAGGUAACGGCUCACCAAGGCUGUGAUGGCUAGCUGGUCUGAGAGGAUGACCAGCCACACUGGGACUGGAGACACGCCCAGACUCCUACGGGAGGCAGCAGUGGGAAUAUUGCGCAAUGGGCGAAAGCUGACGCAGCGACGCCGCGUGGGUGAUGAAGGCC